This 434-nucleotide ribosomal RNA is filed under the name uncultured bacterium. RNAcentral's name for it is "bacterial SSU rRNA". It matches the Rfam family "Bacterial small subunit ribosomal RNA", at positions 29 to 506 of the family's 1533-position model. The record is from RNAcentral.
AUGAACGUUGGCGGUGCGCCUAAUACAUGCAAGUCAAGGGGGUCCGCAAGGACUACCGGCAAACGGGUCAAUAACACGUUGGAACCUGCCUCAAAGUGAGGGAUAACUCCGCGAAAGCGGAGCUAAUACCGCAUAUGAUCGCAAGAUUAAAGCAGCAAUGCGCUUUGAGAGGGGCCUGCGUCCUAUCAGCUAGUUGGCGAGGUAACUGCUCACCAAGGCUAUGACGGGUAGCUGGUCUGAGAGGAUGAUCAGCGACAGGGAAACUGAGACACGGUUCCCACUCCUACGGGAGGCAGCAGUAAGGAAUCUUUCGCAAUGGGGGAAACCCUGACGAAGCGACACCGCGUGAAGGAUGAAGCCCGGAAGGGUGUAAACUUCUUUUUUGAGGGAAGAAUUCUGACGGUACCUCAAGAAUAAGCACCGGCUAACUCUGU